UGGGAGGUCGUCUAACGGUAGGACUGCGGACUCUGAAUCCGCCUAUCGGGGUUCGAAUCCCUGCCUCCCAGCCA
RNAcentral lists this transfer RNA (74 nucleotides) under Acidobacteriota bacterium. RNAcentral's name for it is "tRNA-Gln". It matches the Rfam family "tRNA". Rfam says of the family: Transfer RNA (tRNA) molecules are approximately 80 nucleotides in length. Their secondary structure includes four short double-helical elements and three loops (D, anti-codon, and T loops). RNAcentral also lists the same sequence under 3 other names. The record is from RNAcentral. Lineage: Bacteria; Pseudomonadati; Acidobacteriota.